This 493-nucleotide ribosomal RNA is filed under the name uncultured bacterium. RNAcentral's name for it is "bacterial SSU rRNA". It matches the Rfam family "Bacterial small subunit ribosomal RNA", at positions 28 to 524 of the family's 1533-position model. The record is from RNAcentral.
GAUGAACGCUAGCGGGAGGCCUAAUACAUGCAAGUCGAGCGGUAGAGUGACUUCGGUUGCUUGAGAGCGGCGAACGGGUGAGUAACGCGUACACAAUCUACCUUUAAGAGGGGAAUAGCCCUGGGAAACUGGGAUUAAUGCCCCAUGGCAUCACGAAGUGGCAUCGCUUUGUGAUUAAAGCUGAGGUGCUUAGAGAUGAGUGUGCGUCUGAUUAGCUAGUUGGUGCGGUAACGGCGCACCAAGGCGACGAUCAGUAGGGGGCGUGAGAGCGUGGACCCCCACACGGGUACUGAGACACGGACCCGACUCCUACGGGAGGCAGCAGUAAGGAAUAUUGGACAAUGGGCGCAAGCCUGAUCCAGCCAUCCCGCGUGCAGGAUGACAGCCCUACGGGUUGUAAACUGCUUUGUUAGGAAGAAACCCUCGAUUUAUCGGGGCUGACGGUACCUUUCGAAUAAGCACCGGCUAACUCCGUGCCAGCAGCCGCGGUAAA